Molecule: non-coding RNA, 125 nt
Organism: Glycine soja
Lineage: Eukaryota; Viridiplantae; Streptophyta; Magnoliopsida; Fabales; Fabaceae
Source: Rfam
UUUUUAUUGGAUGAUAAUGGUCACGUAUCAUAUUUUAAUCAAAUGUCAACUUCAUAAAAGAUGAAAUGCAUUGUUGUUUUCAUUAACCAAUCAGAACAUGACAUGACAUGUGAUAGUCAUCAUCC